UACGUAGGGUGCAAGCGUUGUCCGGAAUUAUUGGGCGUAAAGAGCUCGUAGGCGGUUUGUUGCGUCGGCUGUGAAAUCCCGAGGCUCAACCUCGGGUCUGCAGUCGAUACGAGCAAACUAGAGUGUUGCAGGGGAGACUGGAAUUCCUGGUGUAGCGGUGAAAUGCGCAGAUAUCAGGAGGAACACCGGUGGCGAAGGCGGAUCUCUGGGACGGUACUGACGCUGAGACGCGAAAGCGUGGGGAGCGAACAGG
Molecule: ribosomal RNA, 253 nt
Filed under: uncultured bacterium
Lineage: Bacteria
Description: partial 16S ribosomal RNA
Rfam family: Bacterial small subunit ribosomal RNA
Source: RNAcentral